This 253-nucleotide ribosomal RNA is filed under the name uncultured bacterium. RNAcentral describes it as "partial 16S ribosomal RNA". It matches the Rfam family "Bacterial small subunit ribosomal RNA", at positions 524 to 776 of the family's 1533-position model. The record is from RNAcentral.
UACGAAGGGGGCUAGCGUUGUUCGGAAUUACUGGGCGUAAAGCGUGCGCAGGCGGCUUCUCAAGUCAGGGGUGAAAGCCCAGAGCUCAACUCUGGAAUUGCCUUUGAGACUGAGAAGCUUGAGUACGAGAGAGGUGAGUGGAAUUCCCAGUGUAGAGGUGAAAUUCGUAGAUAUUGGGAAGAACACCGGUGGCGAAGGCGGCUCACUGGCUCGUAACUGACGCUCAUGCACGACAGCGUGGGGAUCAAACAGG